UACGUAGGGCGCAAGCGUUGUCCGGAAUUAUUGGGCGUAAAGAGCUCGUAGGCGGCUUGUCACGUCGGGUGUGAAAGCCCGGGGCUUAACCCCGGGUCUGCAUUCGAUACGGGCUAGCUAGAGUGUGGUAGGGGAGAUCGGAAUUCCUGGUGUAGCGGUGAAAUGCGCAGAUAUCAGGAGGAACACCGGUGGCGAAGGCGGAUCUCUGGGCCAUAACUGACGCUGAGAAGCGAAAGCAUGGGGAGCGAACAGG
Molecule: ribosomal RNA, 253 nt
Filed under: uncultured bacterium
Lineage: Bacteria
Description: partial 16S ribosomal RNA
Rfam family: Bacterial small subunit ribosomal RNA
Source: RNAcentral